Molecule: ribosomal RNA, 480 nt
Filed under: uncultured bacterium
Lineage: Bacteria
Description: bacterial SSU rRNA
Rfam family: Bacterial small subunit ribosomal RNA
Source: RNAcentral
AGAGUUUGAUCCUGGCUCAGGAUGAACGCUGGCGGCGUGCUUAACACAUGCAAGUCGAACGAAGCACUCUAUUUGAUUUUCUUCGGAAAUGAAGAUUUUGUGACUGAGUGGCGGACGGGUGAGUAACGCGUGGGUAACCUGCCUCAUACAGGGGGAUAACAGUUGGAAACGACUGCUAAUACCGCAUAAGCGCACGGUAUCGCAUGGUACAGUGUGAAAAACUCCGGUGGUAUGAGAUGGACCCGCGUCUGAUUAGCCAGUUGGUGGGGUAACGGCCUACCAAAGCGACGAUCAGUAGCCGACCUGAGAGGGUGACCGGCCACAUUGGGACUGAGACACGGCCCAAACUCCUACGGGAGGCAGCAGUGGGGAAUAUUGCACAAUGGGGGAAACCCUGAUGCAGCGACGCCGCGUGAACGAAGAAGUAUUUCGGUAUGUAAAGUUCUAUCAGCAGGGAAGAUAAUGACGGUACCUGACUAA